GGUUGUAGUUGUUAGGGUUAGGGUUUAGGUUUAGGGUUAGGGUUGUGGUUGUAGUUGUAGUUGUGGUUGUGGUUGAGGUUAGGGUUAGGGGUUAGGGUUAGGGUUAGGUUGUGGUUGUGGUUGUAGUUGUGGUUGAGGUUUAGGGUUAGGGUUAGGGUUGUGGUUGUAGUUGUAGUUGAGGUUUAGGGUUAGGGUUAGGGUUGAACUAGGUAGUAGGGUUGAGGUUUAGGGUUAGGGUUAGGGUUUAGGUUUAGGGUUUGGGUUAGGGUUGUGGUUGGAGUUGUAGUUGUGGUUGAGGGUUAGGGUUAGGGUUAGGGUUGUGGUUGAGGUUUAGGGUUAGGGUUAGGGUUGUGGUUUAGGUUUAGGGUUAGGGUUGUUGUGGUUGUGGUUGUGGUUGAGGUUUAGGGUUAGGGUUAGGGUUGUGGUUGUAGUUGUGGUUGAGGGUUAGGGUUAGGGUUAGGGUUAGGGUUAGGGUUAGGGUUGUGGUUAUAGUUGUAGUUUAGUUGUGGUUGAGGUUGAGGGUUAGGGUUAGGGUUAGGGUUGAGGCUAGGGUUAGUGAUGUGGUUGAGGCUAGGGUUAGGGUUAGGGUUGAGGCUAGGGUCAGGAUUAGGGUUGAGGGUUAGGGUUAGGGUUGAGGCUAGAGUUAGGUUUAGGGUUGAGGCUAGGGUUAGUGAUGUGGUUGAGGCUAGGGUUAGGAUUAGGGUUAGGGUUAGGGUUAGGGUUAGGGUUGAGGCUAGGGUUAGGGUUAGGGUUGAGGCUAGGGUUAGAGUUAGGGUUGCGGCUAGGGUUAGUGAUGUGGUUGAGGCUAGGGUUAGGGUUGGGGAUAGGGUUAGGGUUAGGGUUGAGGCUAGGGUUAGGGUUGAGGCUAGGGUUAGUGAUGUGGUUGAGGCUAGGGUUAGGGUUAGGGUUAGGGUUGAGGCUAGGGCUAGGGCUAGGGUUAGGGUUGGGGUUAGGGUUAGGGUUGAGGCUAGGGUUAGGGUUGAGACUAGGGUUAGGUUUGUGGUUGAGGCUAGGGUUAGGUUUGUGGUGGAGGCUAGGGUUAGGGUUAGGGUUGUGGUUUAGGCUAGGGUUAGGGUUGUGGUUGUGGUUGUAGUUGUGGUUUAGGGUUCGGGUUAGGGUUGUGGUUGUGGUUGUAGUUAGGGUUGAGGGUUAGAGGGUUAGGGUUAGGGUUAGGGUUAGGGUUAGGGUGGU
This is a long non-coding RNA of Oncorhynchus tshawytscha (Chinook salmon), 1191 nucleotides long. The record is from Ensembl. NCBI's taxonomy places the organism in Eukaryota, Metazoa, Chordata, Actinopteri, Salmoniformes, Salmonidae.